AAACCGUUCGGGGGAAAACGGACAGAGCCCGUGAAUCCGGACGGUAGAAUUCAGAAUCGAUGGCGGCAACGUCGUCGGUUCGAUAUUUCUGCCGUCGAUACGGACGUCGCGACCCGUUUGGUGUCGGUCUGAGGAGACGCGUUUUACGUUCGUCGACGCGUCGUCUGCCUCGGUAGGCGCGCGUUGCGAGUACGCGUUCGUAUUCCGGCCGGCUCGCCAGACGGUAUGUCGAUGGUGGCCGUGGCGGUCGUUCGCUUCACGGCGAUCAGCGCCGUUCACGGUACCGGUUUGCGACGAAUCUUCGGGCCUCUUUCCGA
Molecule: ribosomal RNA, 317 nt
Filed under: Phenacoccus madeirensis (Mexican mealybug)
Lineage: Eukaryota; Metazoa; Arthropoda; Insecta; Hemiptera; Pseudococcidae
Description: eukaryotic LSU rRNA
Source: RNAcentral